GGAGAUUUAGCUUAGUGGCAUAAGCUUCUGCUUUGUAAGCAGGCAGUCGUGAGUUCAAUCCCCG
Transfer RNA from Cavia porcellus (domestic guinea pig), 64 nucleotides. It matches the Rfam family "tRNA". Rfam says of the family: Transfer RNA (tRNA) molecules are approximately 80 nucleotides in length. Their secondary structure includes four short double-helical elements and three loops (D, anti-codon, and T loops). NCBI's taxonomy places the organism in Eukaryota, Metazoa, Chordata, Mammalia, Rodentia, Caviidae. The record is from Rfam.